This 2902-nucleotide ribosomal RNA is filed under the name Klebsiella pneumoniae. Its description in RNAcentral is "23S ribosomal RNA". It matches the Rfam family "Bacterial large subunit ribosomal RNA". Lineage: Bacteria; Pseudomonadati; Pseudomonadota; Gammaproteobacteria; Enterobacterales; Enterobacteriaceae. The record is from RNAcentral.
GGUUAAGCGACUAAGCGUACACGGUGGAUGCCCUGGCAGUCAGAGGCGAUGAAGGACGUGCUAAUCUGCGAAAAGCGUCGGUAAGGUGAUAUGAACCGUUAUAACCGGCGAUGUCCGAAUGGGGAAACCCAGUGCAAUUCGUUGCACUAUCGUUAACUGAAUACAUAGGUUAACGAGGCGAACCGGGGGAACUGAAACAUCUAAGUACCCCGAGGAAAAGAAAUCAACCGAGAUUCCCCCAGUAGCGGCGAGCGAACGGGGAGCAGCCCAGAGUCUGAAUCAGCUUGUGUGUUAGUGGAACGGUCUGGAAAGUCCGACGGUACAGGGUGAUAGUCCCGUACACCAAAAUGCACAGGUUGUGAACUCGAAGAGUAGGGCGGGACACGUGGUAUCCUGUCUGAAUAUGGGGGGACCAUCCUCCAAGGCUAAAUACUCCUGACUGACCGAUAGUGAACCAGUACCGUGAGGGAAAGGCGAAAAGAACCCCGGCGAGGGGAGUGAAAAAGAACCUGAAACCGUGUACGUACAAGCAGUGGGAGCACCUUCGGGUGUGACUGCGUACCUUUUGUAUAAUGGGUCAGCGACUUAUAUUCUGUAGCAAGGUUAACCGUAUAGGGGAGCCGCAGGGAAACCGAGUCUUAACUGGGCGUUAAGUUGCAGGGUAUAGACCCGAAACCCGGUGAUCUAGCCAUGGGCAGGUUGAAGGUUGGGUAACACUAACUGGAGGACCGAACCGACUAAUGUUGAAAAAUUAGCGGAUGACUUGUGGCUGGGGGUGAAAGGCCAAUCAAACCGGGAGAUAGCUGGUUCUCCCCGAAAGCUAUUUAGGUAGCGCCUCGUGAACUCAUCUUCGGGGGUAGAGCACUGUUUCGGCUAGGGGGUCAUCCCGACUUACCAACCCGAUGCAAACUACGAAUACCGAAGAAUGUUAUCACGGGAGACACACGGCGGGUGCUAACGUCCGUCGUGAAGAGGGAAACAACCCAGACCGCCAGCUAAGGUCCCAAAGUCAUGGUUAAGUGGGAAACGAUGUGGGAAGGCACAGACAGCCAGGAUGUUGGCUUAGAAGCAGCCAUCAUUUAAAGAAAGCGUAAUAGCUCACUGGUCGAGUCGGCCUGCGCGGAAGAUGUAACGGGGCUAAACCAUGCACCGAAGCUGCGGCAGCGACACUAUGUGUUGUUGGGUAGGGGAGCGUUCUGUAAGCCUGCGAAGGUGACCUGUGAGGGUUGCUGGAGGUAUCAGAAGUGCGAAUGCUGACAUAAGUAACGAUAAAGCGGGUGAAAAGCCCGCUCGCCGGAAGACCAAGGGUUCCUGUCCAACGUUAAUCGGGGCAGGGUGAGUCGACCCCUAAGGCGAGGCCGAAAGGCGUAGUCGAUGGGAAACAGGUUAAUAUUCCUGUACUUGGUGUUACUGCGAAGGGGGGACGGAGAAGGCUAUGUUAGCCGGGCGACGGUUGUCCCGGUUUAAGCAUGUAGGCUGAUUAUCCAGGCAAAUCCGGAUAAUCAAGGCUGAGGUGUGAUGACGAGGCACUACGGUGCUGAAGUAACAAAUGCCCUGCUUCCAGGAAAAGCCUCUAAGCAUCAGGUAACAUCAAAUCGUACCCCAAACCGACACAGGUGGUCAGGUAGAGAAUACCAAGGCGCUUGAGAGAACUCGGGUGAAGGAACUAGGCAAAAUGGUGCCGUAACUUCGGGAGAAGGCACGCUGGUGUGUAGGUGAAGCCCCUGCGGGUGGAGCUGAGACCAGUCGAAGAUACCAGCUGGCUGCAACUGUUUAUUAAAAACACAGCACUGUGCAAACACGAAAGUGGACGUAUACGGUGUGACGCCUGCCCGGUGCCGGAAGGUUAAUUGAUGGGGUUAUCCGUAAGGAGAAGCUCUUGAUCGAAGCCCCGGUAAACGGCGGCCGUAACUAUAACGGUCCUAAGGUAGCGAAAUUCCUUGUCGGGUAAGUUCCGACCUGCACGAAUGGCGUAAUGAUGGCCAGGCUGUCUCCACCCGAGACUCAGUGAAAUUGAACUCGCUGUGAAGAUGCAGUGUACCCGCGGCAAGACGGAAAGACCCCGUGAACCUUUACUAUAGCUUGACACUGAACAUUGAGCCUUGAUGUGUAGGAUAGGUGGGAGGCUUUGAAGCGUGGACGCCAGUCUGCGUGGAGCCAACCUUGAAAUACCACCCUUUAAUGUUUGAUGUUCUAACGUUGGCCCCUGACCGGGGUUGCGGACAGUGUCUGGUGGGUAGUUUGACUGGGGCGGUCUCCUCCCAAAGCGUAACGGAGGAGCACGAAGGUUAGCUAAUCCUGGUCGGACAUCAGGAGGUUAGUGCAAUGGCAUAAGCUAGCUUGACUGCGAGCGUGACGGCGCGAGCAGGUGCGAAAGCAGGUCAUAGUGAUCCGGUGGUUCUGAAUGGAAGGGCCAUCGCUCAACGGAUAAAAGGUACUCCGGGGAUAACAGGCUGAUACCGCCCAAGAGUUCAUAUCGACGGCGGUGUUUGGCACCUCGAUGUCGGCUCAUCACAUCCUGGGGCUGAAGUAGGUCCCAAGGGUAUGGCUGUUCGCCAUUUAAAGUGGUACGCGAGCUGGGUUUAGAACGUCGUGAGACAGUUCGGUCCCUAUCUGCCGUGGGCGCUGGAGAAUUGAGGGGGGCUGCUCCUAGUACGAGAGGACCGGAGUGGACGCAUCACUGGUGUUCGGGUUGUCAUGCCAAUGGCACUGCCCGGUAGCUAAAUGCGGAAGAGAUAAGUGCUGAAAGCAUCUAAGCACGAAACUUGCCCCGAGAUGAGUUCUCCCUGAGACUUUAAGUCUCCUGAAGGAACGUUAAAGACGAUGACGUUGAUAGGCCGGGUGUGUAAGCGCAGCGAUGCGUUGAGCUAACCGGUACUAAUGAACCGUGAGGCUUAACCUU